This is a long non-coding RNA of Thalassophryne amazonica, 422 nucleotides long. RefSeq lists it as uncharacterized. The transcript is spliced from 3 exons. The record is from RefSeq and is a predicted model, not a curated record. Lineage: Eukaryota; Metazoa; Chordata; Actinopteri; Batrachoidiformes; Batrachoididae.
CAGCCAAAAAGCCGAACUCCAUCACUCUGCCAAAGGACAGGGAGACGAUCCGCAUGCUUGAUCUCUCAGGAAAUGAGCUGGACUCUUUGUCCUGUUUGGUGGACAACAGCACCGUCCAACGCCAUUUGGGGCAUCUCUUCCGCUUGGACAUGAGCCACAACAAUCUGCAGGAGCUUCCUUCAGCACUUUGUCAGAGCUUGAGGAGUCUGACUCGAAUAGACCUCCAUGGCAACCAGCUCCAGUCAUUUCCAUUUGAGAUGCUGGGCCUUCCUUCUUUGAGUGUGCUUAACAUCUCUCACAACUGCAUGGGUCCCAAACUCAUCUUUAAUCCCACAUUUACAUGCCCAUCCCUACGGCAGCUCAAUCUGUCUUUCAAUAAAAUCACUACAUUCCCGCAAGAGCUGGGCCAGGUCAUCAUCUGG